RNAcentral lists this transfer RNA (75 nucleotides) under Clostridiaceae bacterium. Its description in RNAcentral is "tRNA-Arg". It matches the Rfam family "tRNA". From Rfam's summary of the family: Transfer RNA (tRNA) molecules are approximately 80 nucleotides in length. Their secondary structure includes four short double-helical elements and three loops (D, anti-codon, and T loops). The record is from RNAcentral. Lineage: Bacteria; Bacillati; Bacillota; Clostridia; Eubacteriales; Clostridiaceae.
GCCCCGGUGGCCUAAUGGAUAAGGCAGCGGAUUCCGGUUCCGCCGAUAUGGGUUCGAUUCCUGUCCGGGGCGCCA